GCGGCAACAGCAUGGAGGUGACAUUUAAUCUCAAGAUCUACCCACUGCUGUUGCUCAACAUUAGCUUGGCCCUUUCAAAGAACACAAGCAUGUUCUGGGCAUCUACUUUUUUUAUAUACAUAAUCUCGCUUAAUCCUCACAAGUGAGAUUUAUACAGCAGCCUCUCUUGCAGAAGCACAGUUCACGCAGAACAUGUGCAUGUGGCAGAAACAUCGGCGAUGGGCAAAAUCUGCUAAUGGAUUGAACCUAGAGGAAAGAACCAGCAAAGCCAAGUCAUGAUUCUAGAUCCACCACAAGAUCAUUUGUGCUCAGUUUCCCUUAAAAUGCAAUAGACAACAUUAAGCAGAAUGUUCUGAACCUAUGUUCUCACCUUUACUCCUUAAUGGAGAGCUGCAUGGGGGAAGUGCAUCGGUUUCAGGCCCAACUUGGUCGCCAAACCACUGCUGGGUGUCAUCUCUUCACCUCUACAAUGGGAGUUUGGAAUGAGGCAUUCUUCAAUGUUCCUUCAGUUCUAAUCAUGUUCUACAUUAAUUGGUACACAUGCAUGCACACACACACUCCAAUGUAACCACAUAUAAAGGCAUGGACAAAGUUGUUUCCCUCAUCUCUCAAAACACUGUUGAAGUUCCAACCCCCAGUACCUCAGAAUGUGACUUUAUUUGGAGAUAGGGCCUUAAAUAGGUGAUUAACUUAAAAUGAGGCCAUUAAAGUAGGGCUCUAAUGGAUUAUGACUGGUGUCUAUUUUUAAGAGGAGGAAAAGACACAAGGGAUGCAUGUGAAGAGAGAGAAGGGCAUGUGAGGACACAAGGAAAAAGGACACCGUCUGCAAGCCAAGGAGAGAGCCCUCGGAAGGAACCCACCCUGACAACACCUUGACCUUGGACUUCCAGCUUCCAGAACUGUGAGAAAUACAUUUAUGUUGUUUAAGCUGCCCAGUCUGGUAUUUUGUGUGUUGCAAAUAUGUCCCCUUUCUAUCAAGGAAGAUCUGCAUUGAUGCUCUGAUCCCAAAUGUAUGUGCAACAUGAGAGAAACUGAAGAUUUGUCUGGAAGACCCAGACUUGGAUCCAAAUGGUGCAGUUGGAAUAACUUCCUUCAGGAAGAUAAUCCAUACUGAUGUGGUUUAUGGCUGACCUUUAACCACAACCUCAUGGCAUGUCUUCGUUCUCUUGAAACCUGCAGCAGAACAAGCCUCAUGCUGGAAAAGCCAUGGCUGACAUGGGCUUCUCCCCUUUGCUAAGAUUCACGAAGACCCAGAAAAUUCUACAAGUAUUUACUGAGCACUCAUCAUGCACUGGGAGUGGUGCAAGACACAAGAUAAAUAAAACUGGGGCCUCCUGCCCCUGGAGAACUUACAAGUGAAGGAUGAUGGACAUACAAGCAGCUCCACUAAGCCAGAUGGUGUUUUGCUCAAGAAACUAAAUGCUAUGGAAGUUUUAUCUGUGAGGAAUUAUAUUUCAUUACGAAUAAAAGAAGUCCUAGGGAAAAGUGGCUCAAACAAGUAAGGACUUUAUUUUUCCUAUACAACUAGAAUUCCAGAAGUUCAUGGUUGCUGGUGUUGCUUCAAGGCUUCAAAGAUGUUAGGGUCAAGGUCUUUGCAACAACUGUUUUCCCCCAGCUUUAUUAAGAUGUAAUUGAC
This 1636-nucleotide long non-coding RNA is filed under the name Homo sapiens (human). RNAcentral describes it as "HSALNT0100657". Lineage: Eukaryota; Metazoa; Chordata; Mammalia; Primates; Hominidae. The record is from RNAcentral.